Non-coding RNA from Picea glauca (white spruce), 571 nucleotides. The record is from Rfam. NCBI's taxonomy places the organism in Eukaryota, Viridiplantae, Streptophyta, Pinopsida, Pinales, Pinaceae.
AAUAUAAUUAAUAUAUAACUUUAUAACAGUCGACUCAGAGCUGGUUUGGACAAGGGGAAUCUGACUAUUUAAUUAAAACAAAGAAUUGUGAUGGUCCCUAUGGAUGUUGACACAAUGUGACUUUUUCCCAAUGUUCUGAAUGUUAAAGUGAAGAAAUUAGACCAAGCACGGGUAAACAACGCGAGUAAAUAUGACUCUCUUAAGGUAGAUAAAUGCCUCGUCAUCUAAUUAGUGAUGCACAUGAAUGGAUUAACUAGAUUCCCACUAUCCCUAUCUAUUUUCUAGCGAAACCACGACCAAGGAAAUGGACUUGGCAUAAUCAAUAGGGAAAGAAGACCUUGUUGAGCUUGACUCUAGUACGACUUUGUGAAAUGACUUGAGAGGUGUAGAAUAAGUGGGAUUCUUUUUUGGCACAAAUGAAAUACAACUACUUUUAACGUUAUUUUACUUAUUAUGUGGGGCGAAGAGGGGCAUUUGUUAGAAUAUGAAAGAUUGUGCUUGUUUUACCAUUGAUAAUACCCUUGUCACCCAACCAUAGGCCGAAACCACCCUCCCACCCUCCGAGCACCUU